Balaenoptera acutorostrata (minke whale) is the source of this 612-nucleotide long non-coding RNA. RefSeq lists it as uncharacterized. The record is from RefSeq and is a predicted model, not a curated record. The transcript is spliced from 3 exons. Lineage: Eukaryota; Metazoa; Chordata; Mammalia; Artiodactyla; Balaenopteridae.
GCCAAGGGCCACCCGAGACGGUCCCCAGAGAGCCACCGGAGGAGCAACUCACCUGAGCGCCGGAGCCCCGGCUCGCCCGUGUGCAGAGGUAGCGAGCCCAACCCUUGCGUCCUCCCGGGCUGCGUCUCCCCGACGGUGCCCUCCGUGGAAACUUCAGCCUCUCCGGGCUUCUCUUUGCUAGUGCAUUAUCGAAGAGUGGACAGGCCAAAAUCUCAUCAAGUUCGAACCUCUGGUACAAUAAGGCGAACCUCUUCUUUGGAUACGACCUUAUCUCACAGGACAGUGGCCACGAGAUCCUCAUGUUCAUUACCCUUCAUGCAUGAAAGAUAAAGCUACUCAGUUCCAGAAAUGACGUCUGCUGAAGGGAGAACAUGUUCUAGCAAUGAAAUCUUCAAAAGACUCCUGCUGCUGCUCUGUGACUGGGACCCCCAGGUUGUCUUUGGAAGUUUCUAAGGCCUCCUGAGUAGAGACUGGGACAUGGAAGGAGUCGAGAGGCAAAGGAAGCCCAGCAUCACCUGUAAUUUUCUGAAACUGGAGGGAAAGACAAAAGACAAGACAAAAAUUCAGUGAUGAACAAAGCCAACCAUUAAAAAGUAGAGUUCAAAACGUCAA